Empidonax traillii (willow flycatcher) is the source of this 1753-nucleotide long non-coding RNA. RefSeq lists it as uncharacterized. Lineage: Eukaryota; Metazoa; Chordata; Aves; Passeriformes; Tyrannidae. The transcript is spliced from 3 exons. The record is from RefSeq and is a predicted model, not a curated record.
AAAUUGAUCAAAACCAAUAUUUUCCUGCAAAGGUUUCAUUUUCAACCAAGCAGGCCUCUUCUGAUUAAAGAAGUUGCAUAAAAAUUCUUAAUCAUCUCUGCACAGGAACACUGCUGUAGCUGUUGGGGAUUAAGGAAUAGAGGCAUUAUCACCACCCACUUCAUACACUGCAUUAAGUGGCUCUUGGAGCAGAAGCAGAAACUUUUGUCUGCAAAAGGAGCAAGCACAAGUUGCUAAUUUGCAUCAAGAGGUAAGUCACAUGCUCUGAGUAACACUGGUCCAAUGUAUAUUUGAGGUACUGCACAACAGAACAUUUAGGGGCUACUCAACUGAACUAAACCUUAAUUGUAUGCAAACAAGCCAGAACAGCAUUUGGGAUCGGUAUCUCCAAGUCACUGACUGCUACUAUGACCCUAUCUCUGAAGAAACUAUCACGACUAAUUCAAUUUAAUGAUACACACGAUUUCAGUUCAAAGAUCGUGGAAUUCCCUUGAAACUCUGCAGCAUCUUCAAAAGACAUAGAAUAUAAACAGGAAAUGGGAUACUAUGGACCACAAUAAAAACAACUACUGGCUUUGGCAACAAUGAAAAGAAAAAUAGAAAUUUCGCUUUUCUGUUACUUCUUUCACAUAUUGCAACAUUCAUCUGGAACAAACUUUUGUGAAUGAAGUCAAAUAAAAAUAGGAAAAGCUAAAAGAUGAAGUGAUUUUAAAAUAACCACCUACAGAAUUACACAAACAUAAAUGUUACAGUCCAAACUCAUACACCCAUUCUUCAAAGGCUCGCCUUCAGCACACCCGUUAAAAGGAAAUGUUCAUGCUCAGAUCAUGGAAAAGUAGUAUAUCAGAGCUGAUGAAAGUGUCGUUUCCUGCACACCCACUUACACCAUAUGGUAAACAGGUAUUUGUAAAGUUUAAAAAGUGUUAAAAAUGUCAAACUAUAUCUGAUUGAUAAAAUUUGUAUUUGCUGGCUAUUCCACAUAUGUUACAUGUUCAAGAAAAAAGCCACAAAGACGAAAUUCAUGUGAAGACCAAGCAAUUAUCAUCAAGCUAUUAAAUGACAUCUGGCUACCGCAAAAUGUUUACAUAGUUUCAAUGCUUCAACUCAAGACCCAAGCUUUCUGUGAAUUAUUUGCCUUACAAAAACAUUUGACAAGUAUAUUUUUAAGAUCAUCAUAACCAGGGUGACUGGUGACUACUCUUUCAACAGAAUGAUGGAGUUGAACUAAUGAAGGGUCACAAUGUUUCCUGAACACUUGUUUCAGAACAUGGAAAUGAAAGAGGAUCUGGCAGCAAAUACAGGUAGCAAUUUUUUCCCCUUCCCCACCAAAAUCACACACACAGGCACAGAUUACUUCAUAUGUGCUACAAGGGCCAACAAGGCUCUGACUGAGGUGCCAUCAAUAGACUCUUGCUACAGGUCCCUACCUGAAAGGAAGUCCAAUGCAUUUUUUGGUCUGUUUGGACAGUUACAAAUCAGACUAUGGCUAUGAGCAAUCUGUUCCUCUCACCCUGUGCAAGCAUUUCAGCUGAAGAUCUGGUAACAUGUACUAUGUACACUUAACUAAGACUAAAAGUGCUUACAAGCCUCCACCAUCAUUUCAGGUGAUUCACCACAGCUACUGAAGGGUCUGGGAGAUCAAUCAGCCGUUCCAGCCAUGUGCCACUAGCACGACUCUAAAGCACUUUUGCUCCAUUGCUGUGACAAAGUCACGUCACGUUGCUGACAAGGACCGAGCCAGGAGAAAUACAAG